ACUGACUUUAUGUUGCUGUAAAAUGAAGCACAUCUGACAAACUAUUUCAAUCAUACUACAUCAGGAUUGAAUGUAAUCACUCAUCCUUACUCGUGAAAUGUAUUUGAUUAUUGUGAAUCUUAUCGACUUUAAACUGCUGUAUGAGGUAUUAUAUGUAAUUGUUUGGUUACUGGGUUUGAUUACUAUAAAAUAAACACAUAAAAUUUCUUUCACAAGUUGUUAUUCUUUAGUCAAGAUUGGGGUUCCUGAUAAAGUGCGCUCUAUAUAAGCUUUUUUUUUUUGGGUAUUUUUGCGAUUUUGAUUAUGAUUUUUUAUGGUUUGGAGUUGUGAUUAGGUGAGAAGGUAAGAAGGGUUUGGGAGCUGCGCUUGAUUAUGCAGAAGAGGCUUAAUUUUCCAGAAGGUUAACAACAAUAGUGCGGUCUUUGCGCUAUUGCUCAGUGUGGGUCUCUUCGUUACAAGCUUCUUGGGGUUGCUCUGCUGUUAGAAGGGUUUAUUUGAGGAAUGUUUUGGGUUCAUCUAGAGUUUGCCACUCGACUGCCAUCCCUGCUGCCCCACCAUAUCUCGUGCUCCUCCCCGCAACUUAGUUUUCUAUUGUAAAAUAAUCGAAGUAGUGUUGUAGUGUUGAGCUAGUUGAUUAUUUUAAUUAUUAGGUGAUAAUUAUUAGCUUUGUUUUCUACUGUAAAAUAUUUUUUAUUUUAAUUAUUAGGUGAUAAUUGAACUUUGAUGAUUGUA
Chenopodium quinoa (quinoa) is the source of this 732-nucleotide long non-coding RNA. RefSeq lists it as uncharacterized. NCBI's taxonomy places the organism in Eukaryota, Viridiplantae, Streptophyta, Magnoliopsida, Caryophyllales, Amaranthaceae. The record is from RefSeq and is a predicted model, not a curated record. The transcript is spliced from 2 exons.